This 72-nucleotide transfer RNA is filed under the name Camelus bactrianus (Bactrian camel). It matches the Rfam family "tRNA". From Rfam's summary of the family: Transfer RNA (tRNA) molecules are approximately 80 nucleotides in length. Their secondary structure includes four short double-helical elements and three loops (D, anti-codon, and T loops). The record is from Rfam by way of RNAcentral. Lineage: Eukaryota; Metazoa; Chordata; Mammalia; Artiodactyla; Camelidae. RNAcentral also lists the same sequence under 2 other names.
GAGGGUAUAGUUGAGUGGUAGAGUGUGUGCUUAGCAUGCACAAGGCCCUGGAUUCAAUCCCCAGUACCUCCA